Acanthopagrus latus (yellowfin seabream) is the source of this 1015-nucleotide non-coding RNA. The record is from the annotation of a RefSeq genome assembly. NCBI's taxonomy places the organism in Eukaryota, Metazoa, Chordata, Actinopteri, Spariformes, Sparidae.
GGUAUAAAUCCAAGCAGUGUUUCUCCUGAUGUUGUGUCCCACGUUGCCUUCAGUGUUCAGCUGAGAGCAGAGAAAUCAUUUCCAUAGAGAGGAGGCUUUGCAUGGUCAGCUGAUCCUCCAGUGAACUGAGAAGGUUUAUAGUCCUGUGAGUUCAACACUGCAGGACUCACAUCUGUCAGUCAACACAGCAGAAAGCACAACCACCAUGACUCUCAUCACCAUCCUCAUCUGGACGCUGGCCUGCUGCUGUUUUACAGGAUGCAGCGGUCAGGUGACUGUGACUCAGCCUCCAGUAGUGACAUCUGCUCCAGGAUCCACUGCCACUCUCACCUGUAACACCAACCAAGCUGUUUACAGAUACAGUGAUGGUGAUGAUGCUAUGUUCUGGUAUCAACAGAAAUCUGGACAGCCUCCAAAGCUCCUGAUAAAAUAUGCCAAAACACUUGAAUCUGGAACACCAGCUCGGUUUAGUGGCAGUGGAAGAAGCUCUGCCUUCACUUUGACCAUCAGUGGAGUUCAGACUGAAGAUGCAGCAGUUUAUUACUGUCAGAGUUACCACAGUGGUGGAGUGUUCACACAGUGAUUCAGAGCCGUACAAAAACCUCCUUCAGUUUGACUGAAGUGAAAACGGCCUGCUGCAGGUGCAGAGGGUUGGUGAAGAGACUGUGAUGAGGAGAACUGGUCCAGUGAACACAAGAGUCAUCAAGCAGAACCACAAUGAACCUAAAGAAAACUGAAACAGACUCACAGACAUUUUUUCAUAAACACGUUUUAAACUUCAGUACAUUGCAGUAAAUUAAAUAUUUUUAGGUGUAAAAUGAUAAACGACCAUUUAUUAUUGGAUUUCAACUACUGAUAUCAAAAUAAGUACAAUAGUGUCUGUUAAUAGCUGCACUAAACAGUCUAAAACUAAAACAGUCCAAAGCAGAAAGGGAUAUUUCUGUUUAUUACAAUUUAUUUUAUUAACUAAAGUGAUUUCAUUUCAAAAUGUAAGAUUUUAUAUUCAGAUGUCACA